CCUACGGGUGGCUGCAGUGGGGAAUAUUGCACAAUGGGCGCAAGCCUGAUGCAGCCAUGCCGCGUGUGUGAAGAAGGCCUUCGGGUUGUAAAGCACUUUCAGCGGGGAGGAAGGCGGUGAGGUUAAUAACCUCAUCGAUUGACGCUACCCGCAGAAGAAGCACCGGCUAACUCCGUGCCAGCAGCCGCGGUAAUACGGAGGGUGCAAGCGUUAAUCGGAAUUACUGGGCGUAAAGCGCACGCAGGCGGUCUGUCAAGUCGGAUGUGAAAUCCCCGGGCUCAACCUGGGAACUGCAUUCGAAACUGGCAGGCUAGAGUCUUGUAGAAGGGGGUAGAAUUCCAGGUGUAGCGGUGAAAUGCGUAGAGAUCUGGAGGAAUACCGGUGGCGAAGGCGGCCCCCUGGACAAAGACUGACGCUCAGGUGCGAAAGCGUGGGGAGCAAACAGGAUUAGAUACCCGGGUAGUC
This 465-nucleotide ribosomal RNA is filed under the name uncultured Klebsiella sp. Its description in RNAcentral is "bacterial SSU rRNA". It matches the Rfam family "Bacterial small subunit ribosomal RNA", at positions 338 to 795 of the family's 1533-position model. The record is from RNAcentral. Lineage: Bacteria; Pseudomonadati; Pseudomonadota; Gammaproteobacteria; Enterobacterales; Enterobacteriaceae.